CUACGGGCUGCUCCAGGCGAGAAAACUUUGCAAUGUGCGAAAGCACGACAAGGUUAAUCCGAGUGGUUUGUGCUAAACGAACCUUUUGACAGUCCUAGAAACACUGUUGAAUAAGGGGUGGGCAAGUUCUGGUGUCAGCCGCCGCGGUAAAACCAGCACCUCAAGUGGUCAGGAUGAUUAUUGGGCCUAAAGCAUCCGUAGCCGGCUCUGUAAGUUUUCGGUUAAAUCUGUACGCUCAACGUACAGGCUGCCGGGAAUACUGCAGAGCUAGGGCGUGGGAGAGGUAGACGGUACUCGGUAGGAAGGGGUAAAAUCCUUUGAUCUAUUGAUGACCACCUGUGGCGAAGGCGGUCUACCAGAACACGUCCGACGGUGAGGGAUGAAAGCUGGGGGAGCAAACCGGAUUAGAUACCCCGGUAGUC
This 422-nucleotide ribosomal RNA is filed under the name uncultured archaeon. RNAcentral's name for it is "partial 16S ribosomal RNA". It matches the Rfam family "Archaeal small subunit ribosomal RNA", at positions 323 to 746 of the family's 1478-position model. The record is from RNAcentral.